This 657-nucleotide ribosomal RNA is filed under the name [Candida] sp. RWT23. RNAcentral's name for it is "SSU rRNA". It matches the Rfam family "Eukaryotic small subunit ribosomal RNA", at positions 1141 to 1821 of the family's 1831-position model. Lineage: Eukaryota; Fungi; Ascomycota; Saccharomycetes; Saccharomycetales. The record is from RNAcentral.
AACUUAAAGGAAUUGACGGAAGGGCACCACCAGGAGUGGAGCCUGCGGCUUAAUUUGACUCAACACGGGGAAACUCACCAGGUCCAGACACAAUAAGGAUUGACAGAUUGAGAGCUCUUUCUUGAUUUUGUGGGUGGUGGUGCAUGGCCGUUCUUAGUUGGUGGAGUGAUUUGUCUGCUUAAUUGCGAUAACGAACGAGACCUUAACCUCUAAAUAGGGCUGUUAGCAUUUUGCUGGCGAGCGCUUCUUACGGGGACUAUUGACUUGAAGUCGAUGGAAGUUUGAGGCAAUAACAGGUCUGUGAUGCCCUUAGACGUUCUGGGCCGCACGCGCGCUACACUGACGGAGCCAGCGAGUUGACCUUGGCCGAGAGGUCUGGGAAAUCUUGAAAAACUCCGUCGUGCUGGGGAUACAGCAUUGCAAUUUUUGCUCUUCAACGAGGAAUUCCUAGUAAGCGCAAGUCAUCAGCUUGCGUUGAUUACGUCCCUGCCCUUUGUACACACCGCCCGUCGCUACUACCGAUUGAAUGGCUUAGUGAGGCCUCCGGAUUUGUCUAGUGCUGGGGGCAACCUCGGCGCGGGACGGAGAAGCUGGUCAAACUUGGUCAUUUAGAGGAAGUAAAAGUCGUAACAAGGUUUCCGUAGGUGAACCUGCGGA